RNAcentral lists this ribosomal RNA (588 nucleotides) under uncultured bacterium. RNAcentral describes it as "partial 16S ribosomal RNA". It matches the Rfam family "Bacterial small subunit ribosomal RNA", at positions 355 to 1375 of the family's 1533-position model. The record is from RNAcentral.
UGGGGAAUUUUGGACAAUGGGCGAAAGCCUGAUCCAGCAAUGCCGCGUGUGUGAAGAAGGCCUUCGGGUUGUAAAGCACUUUUGUCCGGAAAGAAAUCCUUGGCUCUAAUACAGUCGGGGGAUGACGGUACCGGAAGAAUAAGCACCGGCUAGCUACGUGCCAGCAGCCGCGGUAAUACGUAGGGUGCAAGCGUUAAUCGGAAUUACUGGGCGUAAAGCGUGCGCAGGCGGUUUGCUAAGACCGAUGUGAAAUCCCCGGGCUCAACCUGGGAACUGCAUUGGUGACUGGCAGGCUAGAGUAUGGCAGAGGGGGGUAGAAUUCCACGUGUAGCAGUGAAAUGCGUAGAGAUGUGGAGGAAUACCGAUGGCGAAGGCAGCCCCCUGGGCCAAUACUGACGCUCAUGCACGAAAAGCGUGGGGAGCAAAACAGGAUUAGAUACCCUGGUAGUCCACGCCCUAAAACGAUGUCAACUAGUUGUUGGGGAUUCAUUUCCUUAGUAACGUAGCUAACGCGUGAAGUUGACCGCCUGGGGAGUACGGUCGCAAGAUUAAAACUCAAAUGAAUUGACGGGGUCAUAGCUGUUUCCU